GCCCUAUUAGCUCAGUUGGUUAGAGCGUCGUGCUAAUAACGCGAAGGUCACAGGUUCGAAGCCUGUAUGAGGCA
Molecule: transfer RNA, 74 nt
Filed under: Brassica rapa (field mustard)
Lineage: Eukaryota; Viridiplantae; Streptophyta; Magnoliopsida; Brassicales; Brassicaceae
Rfam family: tRNA
About the family: Transfer RNA (tRNA) molecules are approximately 80 nucleotides in length. Their secondary structure includes four short double-helical elements and three loops (D, anti-codon, and T loops). Further hydrogen bonds mediate the characteristic L-shaped molecular structure. tRNAs have two regions of fundamental functional importance: the anti-codon, which is responsible for specific mRNA codon recognition, and the 3' end, to which the tRNAs corresponding amino acid is attached (by aminoacyl-tRNA synthetases). tRNAs cope with the degeneracy of the genetic code in two manners: having more than one tRNA (with a specific anti-codon) for a particular amino acid; and 'wobble' base-pairing, i.e. permitting non-standard base-pairing at the 3rd anti-codon position.
Source: Rfam by way of RNAcentral